UUAGAGACUACCGAGUUCUUACAAGUUUAACAAAAACACCUUGAUUGGUGUAUAUAGAUCAUAAGCAGGUGAAGAAGCAGGCAAUGUACAAAUAUGAUGGCA
Molecule: long non-coding RNA, 102 nt
Organism: Hibiscus syriacus
Lineage: Eukaryota; Viridiplantae; Streptophyta; Magnoliopsida; Malvales; Malvaceae
Exons: 3
Source: RefSeq, a predicted model, not a curated record